RNAcentral lists this transfer RNA (60 nucleotides) under Loxodonta africana (African savanna elephant). It matches the Rfam family "tRNA", at positions 7 to 64 of the family's 71-position model. From Rfam's summary of the family: Transfer RNA (tRNA) molecules are approximately 80 nucleotides in length. Their secondary structure includes four short double-helical elements and three loops (D, anti-codon, and T loops). Further hydrogen bonds mediate the characteristic L-shaped molecular structure. tRNAs have two regions of fundamental functional importance: the anti-codon, which is responsible for specific mRNA codon recognition, and the 3' end, to which the tRNAs corresponding amino acid is attached (by aminoacyl-tRNA synthetases). tRNAs cope with the degeneracy of the genetic code in two manners: having more than one tRNA (with a specific anti-codon) for a particular amino acid; and 'wobble' base-pairing, i.e. permitting non-standard base-pairing at the 3rd anti-codon position. Lineage: Eukaryota; Metazoa; Chordata; Mammalia; Proboscidea; Elephantidae. The record is from Rfam by way of RNAcentral.
GUGGCACAAAUGGUUAAGUGCUUGACUAUUAAUCAGAAGGUUGGUGGUUCAAGUCCACCC